GACGCACCGUGCGAACGUUAUUCGGAAUCACUGGGCUUAAAGCGCGUGUAGGCGGGCCGGCACGUCGGCUGCUGAAAGCCCCCGGCUCAACCGGGGAACGGGCACCGAUACGACCGGCCUGGAGGGGGGUAGGGGGAGCCGGAACUUCCGGUGGAGCGGUGAAAUGCGUUGAGAUCGGAAGGAACGCCCGUGGCGAAAGCGGGCUCCUGGACCCCGCCUGACGCUGAGACGCGAAAGCCAGGGGAGCGAACGGG
RNAcentral lists this ribosomal RNA (254 nucleotides) under uncultured bacterium. Its description in RNAcentral is "partial 16S ribosomal RNA". It matches the Rfam family "Bacterial small subunit ribosomal RNA", at positions 524 to 776 of the family's 1533-position model. The record is from RNAcentral.